Molecule: ribosomal RNA, 367 nt
Filed under: uncultured bacterium
Lineage: Bacteria
Description: bacterial SSU rRNA
Rfam family: Bacterial small subunit ribosomal RNA
Source: RNAcentral
AAUGAACGCUGGCGGCGCGCCUAAUACAUGCAAGUCGAGCGAGAAGACGUAGCAAUACGUUUGUAAAGCGGCGAACGGGUGAGGAAUACAUGGGUAACCUACCCUCGAGUGGGGAAUAACUAGCCGAAAGGUUAGCUAAUACCGCGUACGCUCCUUGGACUUCGGUUCAGGGAGGAAAGCGAUACCGUGGGUAUCGCGCUCUUGGUUGGGCUCAUGUCCUAUCAGCUUGUUGGUGAGGAACGGCUCACCAAGGCUUCGACGGGUAGCUGGUCUGAGAGGACGAUCAGCCACACUGGCACUGCGACACGGCCCAGACUCCUACGGGAGGCAGCAGUGGGGAAUAUUGGACAAUGGGCGAAAGCCUGAU